GAUGAACGCUAGCUACAGGCUUAACACAUGCAAGUCGCGGGGCAGCAUGUAUCUGGCUUGCCAGAUACGAUGGCGACCAGCGCACGGGUGAGUAACGCGUAUCCAACCUGCCCAUAACCACGGCACAGCCCGUCGAAAGGCGGAUUAAUGCCGUAUGAGGUUCCAGAGUAGCAUUAUUAUGGAACGAAAGGAUUGGCGGUUAUGGAUGGGGAUGCGUCCGAUUAGCUAGUUGGCGGGGUAACGGCCCACCAAGGCGACGAUCGGUAGGGGUUCUGAGAGGAACGGUCCCCCACACUGGGAACUGAGACACGGUCCAGACUCCUACGGGAGGCAGCAGUGAGGAAUAUUGGUCAAUGGGCGCAAGCCUGAACCAGCAACGCCGCGUGAAGGAAGAAGGCUUUUCGGG
RNAcentral lists this ribosomal RNA (406 nucleotides) under uncultured bacterium. Its description in RNAcentral is "bacterial SSU rRNA". It matches the Rfam family "Bacterial small subunit ribosomal RNA", at positions 28 to 422 of the family's 1533-position model. The record is from RNAcentral.